AUGGAACCUGAACACGAACGGAAACCACCGCGGUCGAAGAGGACGACCGGAAACCGCGGUCGAAGAGGAAGACCGGAAACGGCCGCGGUCGAAGAGGACGACCGAAAACGGAGGUCAAAGAGGAAGACCGGAAACGGCGGUCGAAACGGCGGAAAAAACCUUCGGAAACGGCGGAAAAACGAACAGAAACGGUGGUCGAAAACCUUCGAAAACGGCGGUCGAUGA
Non-coding RNA from Vicia faba (fava bean), 225 nucleotides. Lineage: Eukaryota; Viridiplantae; Streptophyta; Magnoliopsida; Fabales; Fabaceae. The record is from the annotation of a GenBank genome assembly.